AGGAUGAACGCUGGCGGCGUGCUUAACACAUGCAAGUCGAACGAUGAAGCAGAGCUUGCUCUGUGGAUUAGUGGCGAACGGGUGAGUAACACGUGAGUAACCUGCCCUUGACUCUGGAAUAAGCGUUGGAAACGACGUCUAAUACCGGAUACGAGCUUCCGCCGCAUGGUGAGGAGCUGGAAAGAAUUUCGGUCAAGGAUGGACUCGCGGCCUAUCAGGUAGUUGGUGAGGUAAUGGCUCACCAAGCCUACGACGGGUAGCCGGCCUGAGAGGGUGACCGGCCACACUGGAACUGAGACACGGUCCAGACUCCUACGGGAGGCAGCAGUGGGGAAUAUUGCACAAGUGGGCGCAAGCCUGAUGCAGCAACGCCGCGUGAGGACGACGGCCGUUCGGUUAGUAAACCGUUCGUUUUAAGGUAGGAAGAAGGGUCGUUCGGUCGUGACGGUACUGACAAGAAAACGCACCGCUAACGUACGU
Molecule: ribosomal RNA, 480 nt
Filed under: uncultured soil bacterium
Lineage: Bacteria
Description: bacterial SSU rRNA
Rfam family: Bacterial small subunit ribosomal RNA
Source: RNAcentral